Molecule: ribosomal RNA, 253 nt
Filed under: uncultured bacterium
Lineage: Bacteria
Description: partial 16S ribosomal RNA
Rfam family: Bacterial small subunit ribosomal RNA
Source: RNAcentral
UACGGAGGUGGCAAGCGUUGCUCGGAAUCACUGGGCUUAAAGGGUGUGUAGGCGGUUCAUUAAGCGUAACGUGAAAGCCCACGGCUCAACCGUGGAACUGCGAGACGAACUGAUGAACUUGAGGUACGUAAGGGUCGCUAGAACUCUGGGUGGAGCGGUGAAAUGCGUAGAUAUCCAGGGGAAUGCCAGUGGCGUAGGCGAGCGGCUAGGCGUAUUCUGACGCUGAGGCACGAAAGCGUGGGGAGCGAACGGG